CGAACGGAAAGGCCUGCAGCUUGCUGCGGGUACUCGAGUGGCGAACGGGUGAGUAACACGUGGGUGAUCUGCCUUGCACUUCGGGAUAAGCUUGGGAAACUGGGUCUAAUACCGGAUAGGACAGCUGUUUAGUGUCAGUUGUGGAAAGUUUUUUCGGUGCAAGAUGAGCUCGCGGCCUAUCAGCUUGUUGGUGGGGUAAUGGCCUACCAAGGCGUCGACGGGUAGCCGGCCUGAGAGGGUGUACGGCCACAUUGGGACUGAGAUACGGCCCAGACUCCUACGGGAGGCAGCAGUGGGGAAUAUUGCACAAUGGGCGGAAGCCUGAUGCAGCGACGCCGCGUGGGGGAUGAAGGCCUUCGGGUUGUAAACUCCUUUCGACAGGGACGAAGCGUAAGUGACGGUACCUGUAUAAGAAGCACCGGCUAACUACGUGCCAGCAGCCGCGGUAAUACGUAGGGUGCGAGCGUUGUCCGGAAUUACUGGGCGUAAAGAGCUCGUAGGUGGUUUGUCGCGUCGUCUGUGAAAUUCCGGGGCUUAACUCCGGGCGUGCAGGCGAUACGGGCUGACUUGAGUGCUGUAGGGGAGACUGGAAUUCCUGGUGUAGCGGUGAAAUGCGCAGAUAUCAGGAGGAACACCGAUGGCGAAGGCAGGUCUCUGGGCAGUAACUGACGCUGAGGAGCGAAAGCAUGGGUAGCGAACAGGAUUAGAUACCCUGGUAGUCCAUGCCGUAAACGGUGGGCGCUAGGUGUAGGGGGCUUCCACGUCUUCUGUGCCGUAGCUAACGCAUUAAGCGCCCCGCCUGGGGAGUACGCCGCA
RNAcentral lists this ribosomal RNA (816 nucleotides) under uncultured Actinomycetes bacterium. RNAcentral's name for it is "bacterial SSU rRNA". It matches the Rfam family "Bacterial small subunit ribosomal RNA", at positions 63 to 890 of the family's 1533-position model. The record is from RNAcentral. Lineage: Bacteria; Bacillati; Actinomycetota; Actinomycetes.